This 254-nucleotide ribosomal RNA is filed under the name uncultured bacterium. RNAcentral describes it as "partial 16S ribosomal RNA". It matches the Rfam family "Bacterial small subunit ribosomal RNA", at positions 524 to 776 of the family's 1533-position model. The record is from RNAcentral.
UACGUAGGGUGCAAGCGUUAAUCGGAAUUACUGGGCGUAAAGCGUGCGCAGGCGGUGAUGUAAGACAGGUGUGAAAUCCCUCGGCUUAACCGGGGAACUGCGUCUGAUACUGGAUGGCUUGAGGUUGGGAGAGGGAUGCGGAAUUCCAGGUGUAGCGGUGAAAUGCGUAGAUAUCUGGAGGAACACCGGUGGCGAAGGCGGGUCUCUGGGCCGUAACUGGACGCUGAGGAGCGAAGACGUGGGGAGCAAACAGG